RNAcentral lists this unclassified non-coding RNA (375 nucleotides) under soil metagenome. Its description in RNAcentral is "partial contains 5.8S ribosomal RNA, internal transcribed spacer 2, and large subunit ribosomal RNA". The stretch from base 1 to 120 matches the Rfam family "5.8S ribosomal RNA", at positions 35 to 154 of the family's 154-position model. The record is from RNAcentral.
GAUGAAGAACGUAGCGAAAUGCGAUAAGUAAUGUGAAUUGCAGAAUUCAGUGAAUCAUCGAAUCUUUGAACGCACAUUGCGCCCGCCAGUAUUCUGGCGGGCAUGCCUGUUCGAGCGUCAUUUCAACCCUCAAGACCCCUUCGGGGGACUUGGUGUUUGGGACCGGCACAGGGGCCUGCCUGCUUGUCUUGCAGCGCCCUCGCCGCCCCCGAAAUGAAUUGGCGGCCUCGUCGCGGCCUCCCCUGCGUAGUAGCACAAACCUCGCAACGGGAACGUGACGGCGGCCACUGCCGUAAAACAACCCAAUUUUAUUAGAGUUGACCUCGAAUCAGGUAGGAAUACCCGCUGAACUUAAGCAUAUCAAUAAGCGGAGGA